AGUCGAGGGGUAGAGUUCUUCGGAAUUUGAGACCGGCGCACGGGUGCGUAACGCGUAUGCAAUCUACCUUUUACAGAGGGAUAGCCCAGAGAAAUUUGGAUUAAUACCUCAUAGUAUAUAGCCCUGGCAUCAGGAUUAUAUUAAAGUCACAACGGUAAAAGAUGAGCAUGCGUCCCAUUAGCUAGUUGGUAAGGUAACGGCUUACCAAGGCUACGAUGGGUAGGGGUCCUGAGAGGGAGAUCCCCCACACUGGUACUGAGACACGGACCAGACCCCUACGGGAGGCAGCAGUGAGGAAUAUUGGACAAUGGGCGCAAGCCUGAUCCAGCCAUGCCGCGUGCAGGAUGACGGUCCUAUGGAUUGUAAACUGCUUUUAUACGAGAAGAAACACUCCGACGUGUCGGAGCUUGACGGUAUCGUAAGAAUAAGGAUCGGCUGACUCCGUGCCAGCAGCCGCGGUAAUACGGAGGAUCCAAGCGUUAUCCGGAAUCAUUGGGUUUAAAGGGUCCGUAGGCGGUUUAAUAAGUCAGUGGUGAAAGCCCAUCGCUCAACGGUGGAACGGCCAUUGAUACUGUUAAACUUGAAUUAUUAGGAAGUAACUAGAAUAUGUAGUGUAGCGGUGAAAUGCUUAGAGAUUACAUGGAAUACCAAUUGCGAAGGCAGGUUACUACUAAUGGAUUGACGCUGAUGGACGAAAGCGUGGGUAGCGAGCAGGAUUAGAUACCCUGGUAGUCCACGCCGUANACGAUGGAUACUAGCUGUUGGAAGCAAUUUCAGUGGCUAAGCGAAAGUGAUAAGUAUCCCACCUGGGGAGUACGUUCGCAAGAAUGAAACUCAAAGGAAUUGACGGGGGCCCGCACAAGCGGUGGAGCAUGUGGUUUAAUUCGAUGAUACGCGAGGAACCUUUACAAGGCUUAAAUGU
Molecule: ribosomal RNA, 922 nt
Filed under: uncultured bacterium
Lineage: Bacteria
Description: bacterial SSU rRNA
Rfam family: Bacterial small subunit ribosomal RNA
Source: RNAcentral